AGAGUUUGAUCCUGGCUCAGAUUGAACGCUGGCGGCAUGCCUUACACAUGCAAGUCGAACGGCAGCACGAGAGCUUGCUCUUGGUGGCGAGUGGCGAACGGGUGAGUAAUAUAUCGGAACGUACCCUAGAGUGGGGGAUAACGCAGCGAAAGUUGCGCUAAUACCGCAUACGAUCUACGGAUGAAAGUGGGGGAUCGCAAGACCUCAUGCUCAUGGAGCGGCCGAUAUCUGAUUAGCUAGUUGGUAGGGUAAAAGCCUACCAAGGCUUCGAUCAGUAGCUGGUCUGAGAGGACGACCAGCCACAUUGGAACUGAGACACGGUCCAGACUCCUACGGGAGGCAGCAGUGGGGAAUUUUGGACAAUGGGCGCAAGCCUGAUCCAGCAAUGCCGCGUGAGUGAAGAAGGCCUUCGGGUUGUAAAGCUCUUUUGUCAGGGAAGAAACGGUGGACUCUAAUACAGAUCACUAAUGACGGUACCUGAAGAAUAAGCACCGGCUAACUACGUGCCAGCAGCCGCGGUAAUACGUAGGGUGCAAGCGUUAAUCGGAAUUACUGGGCGUAAAGCGUGCGCAGGCGGUUGUGCAAGACAGAUGUGAAAUCCCCGGGCUCAACCUGGGAAUUGCAUUUGUGACUGCACGGCUAGAGUGUGUCAGAGGGGGGUAGAAUUCCACGUGUAGCAGUGAAAUGCGUAGAGAUGUGGAGGAAUACCGAUGGCGAAGGCAGCCCCCUGGGAUAACACUGACGCUCAUGCACGAAAGCGUGGGGAGCAAACAGGAUUAGAUACCCUGGUAGUCCACGCCCUAAACGAUGUCUACUAGUUGUUGGGUCUUAAUUGACUUAGUAACGCAGCUAACGCGUGAAGUAGACCGCCUGGGGAGUACGGUCGCAAGAUUAAAACUCAAAGGAAUUGACGGGGACCCGCACAAGCGGUGGACGAUGUGGAUUAAUUCGAUGCAACGCGAAAAACCUUACCUACCCUUGACAUGUACGGAAUCCCUGAGAGAUUAGGGAGUGCUCGAAAGAGAGCCGUAACACAGGUGCUGCAUGGCUGUCGUCAGCUCGUGUCGUGAGAUGUUGGGUUAAGUCCCGCAACGAGCGCAACCCUUGUCAUUAGUUGCUACGAAAGGGCACUCUAAUGAGACUGCCGGUGACAAACCGGAGGAAGGUGGGGAUGACGUCAAGUCCUCAUGGCCCUUAUGGGUAGGGCUUCACACGUCAUACAAUGGUACAUACAGAGGGCCGCCAACCCGCGAGGGGGAGCUAAUCCCAGAAAGUGUAUCGUAGUCCGGAUUGUAGUCUGCAACUCGACUACAUGAAGUUGGAAUCGCUAGUAAUCGCGGAUCAGCAUGUCGCGGUGAAUACGUUCCCGGGUCUUGUACACACCGCCCGUCACACCAUGAGAGCGGGUUUCACCAGAAGUAGGUAGCCUAACCGUAAGGAGGGCGCUUACCACGGUGGGAUUCGUGACUGGGGUGAAGUCGUAACAAGGUA
RNAcentral lists this ribosomal RNA (1491 nucleotides) under metagenome. RNAcentral's name for it is "bacterial SSU rRNA". It matches the Rfam family "Bacterial small subunit ribosomal RNA". The record is from RNAcentral.